This 469-nucleotide ribosomal RNA is filed under the name uncultured bacterium. RNAcentral's name for it is "partial 16S ribosomal RNA". It matches the Rfam family "Bacterial small subunit ribosomal RNA", at positions 28 to 507 of the family's 1533-position model. The record is from RNAcentral.
GACGAACGCUGGCGGCGUGCUUAACACAUGCAAGUCGAACGGAAAGGCCCUGCUUGCGGGGUGCUCGAGUGGCGAACGGGUGAGUAACACGUGGGUGAUCUGCCCCUUACUUUGGGAUAAGCCUGGGAAACUGGGUCUAAUACUGGAUAGGACCAUGCUGUAGGUGGUGUGGUGGAAAGAUUAGUUUCGGUAAGGGAUGAGCUCGCGGCCUAUCAGCUUGUUGGUGGGGUAAUGGCCUACCAAGGCGUCGACGGGUAGCCGGCCUGAGAGGGUGGACGGCCACAUUGGGACUGGGAUACGGCCCAGACUCCUACGGGAGGCAGCAGUGGGGAAUAUUGCACAAUGGGCGCAAGCCUGAUGCAGCGACGCCGCGUGGGGGAUGACGGCCUUCGGGUUGUAAACUCCUUUCAGCCAUGACGAAGCCCUUGUGGUGACGGUAGUGGUAGAAGAAGCACCGGCUAACUACGUG